This 452-nucleotide ribosomal RNA is filed under the name uncultured bacterium. RNAcentral describes it as "partial 16S ribosomal RNA". It matches the Rfam family "Bacterial small subunit ribosomal RNA", at positions 29 to 523 of the family's 1533-position model. The record is from RNAcentral.
AACGAACGCUGGCGGCAGGCUUAACACAUGCAAGUCGAGCGCCCCGCAAGGGGAGCGGCAGACGGGUGAGUAACGCGUGGGAAUCUACCCUGAACUGCGGAAUAGCUCCGGGAAACUGGAAUUAAUACCGCAUAUGCCCUGAGGGGCAAAGGUUUAUCUGGUUUAGGAUGAGCCCGCGUUGUAUCAGCUAGUUGGUAGGGUAAUGGCCUACCAAGGCUAUGACGCUUAGGAGAGGUGAGAGCCUGACCUCCACCGGUGGGACUGAGACACGGCCCACACACCUACGGGUGGCUGCAGUCGAGAAUCUUCCGCAAUGGGCGAAAGCCUGACGGAGCGACGCCGCGUGAUUGAUGAAGAGCUUCGGUUUGUAAAGAUCUUUUAUGGGGGAAGAAGUUUAUUGACGGUACCCCAUGAAUAAGGACCUGCAAAACUCGUGCCAGCAGCCGCGGUAA